RNAcentral lists this long non-coding RNA (384 nucleotides) under Homo sapiens (human). Its description in RNAcentral is "HSALNT0249106". Lineage: Eukaryota; Metazoa; Chordata; Mammalia; Primates; Hominidae. The record is from RNAcentral.
CUGAGGUCCCUAGUUCCUGGCCUUGCCUUGCAGGGGGCCCACGAAAUGGCCACAUGAAUGGAGACGAGUGUUCGAAGGUCGUGGGGCCGCUGGAAGAUGGAUCUCAGGCUAGGAUGAGCAAAACUGUACAAUACCAUACAGCCCUCUGCCAGCAGAUCCGUUACUAAAGGAAUUCAUGCAUCUUGCAUCUUGAAGAUGCAUUAUUAAUGCCUGGACAAAUCACAUCAGGUGAAACCCAGCAAGUCCCUGGCACUGAAAAAAAGGAACAAAGGCUGGCUCUACAAGAGAGCGAUGGAUGAGACAAAUUAUAACAGCUGGGAGUUUCUUAUUUCAGGAAUCACAGACAAGACUGUGCCUAAGUGGAGACAGGUAAAUAAAGCUUCC